AGAGUUUGAUUAUGGCUCAGAACGAACGCUGGCGGCAUGCCUAACACAUGCAAGUCGAACGUGAUCCGGGACUUCGGUUCCGGUGAAAGUGGCGGACGGGUGAGUAACGCGUGGGAACCUGCCCAGUGGUAGGGGAUAACCGCGGGAAACUGCGGCUAAUACCCUAUGUGCCCUGCGGGGCAAAGAUUUAUCGCCAUUGGAGGGGCCCGCGUCGGAUUAGGUAGUUGGUGAGGUAACGGCUCACCAAGCCAUCGAUCCGUAGCUGGUCUGAGAGGAUGAUCAGCCACACUGGGACUGAGACACGGCCCAGACUCCUACGGGAGGCAGCAGUGGGGAGUAUUGGACAAUGGGGGCAACCCUGAUCCAGCAAUGCCGCGUGAGUGAUGAAGGCCUUAGGGUUGUAAAGCUCUUUCGGCGGGGAAGAUGAUGACGGUACCCAGUAAAGAAGCCCCGGCUAACUCCGUGCCAGCAGCCGCGGUAAU
This 482-nucleotide ribosomal RNA is filed under the name uncultured Alphaproteobacteria bacterium. RNAcentral describes it as "bacterial SSU rRNA". It matches the Rfam family "Bacterial small subunit ribosomal RNA", at positions 8 to 524 of the family's 1533-position model. Lineage: Bacteria; Pseudomonadati; Pseudomonadota; Alphaproteobacteria. The record is from RNAcentral.